GAUGAACGCUGGCGGCGUGCCUAAUACAUGCAAGUCGAGCGAACGGACGAGAUUGGUGCUUCUCGGAUGUUAGAGGGGUGCGGGAGAGGAACACAAGGAUAACCUACCUAUGAGAUUGGUAUAGCUUCGUGGAACCGGAGCUAAAAACGAAUAAUUUUUUGAUGCUCAGGGUUCAAAAGUUAAAGCGGGUCUUGCUGGCACUUCUGCAUGUAUCCUCGCUGCAUUAGCUAGUUGGUAAGGUAACUGCUUACGAAGGCAACGAUGCAUAGCCGACCUGAGAGGGUCAUCGGCCACACUGGAACUGAGACACGGUCCAGACUCCUACGGGAGGCAGCAGUAGGGAAUCUUCCGCAAUGGGCGAAAGCCUGACGGAGCAACGCCGCGUGAGUGAUGAAGGUCUUCGGAUCGUAAAACUCUGUUAUUAGGGAAGAACAUAUGUGUAAGUAACUGUGCACAUCUUGACGGUACCUAAUCAGAAAGCCACGGCUAACUACGUG
This 497-nucleotide ribosomal RNA is filed under the name uncultured bacterium. Its description in RNAcentral is "partial 16S ribosomal RNA". It matches the Rfam family "Bacterial small subunit ribosomal RNA", at positions 28 to 507 of the family's 1533-position model. The record is from RNAcentral.